RNAcentral lists this long non-coding RNA (997 nucleotides) under Paramuricea clavata. The record is from RNAcentral. Lineage: Eukaryota; Metazoa; Cnidaria; Anthozoa; Malacalcyonacea; Plexauridae.
CUAUUACCACCAUAGAUAUCUCAUAUACACUAGAUAGCGCAUCCCACCCUGUAGGCAGGCGAAAAUUGAAGCCUGAUCGCAGUCGCAGUUUACGCGCGGCGGCCAUAUUGGUCGUUCCCCCGGAGCGUGAUAAUUUGUAUAUUUUGUAUUGCGGAAAUGGACAAAGUUGACAAUAAAUCCUCUUUUAUGCAGUCAAUUUUGGUUUUUCAAGUGUGCAACUUGUUGUAAAUGAUGCCAGAUCGUUGGAGCUUCAUAUUGUGAAUAACGGGUAGGCAGAAUUUAAUUUUUUAUUUCGAAAAUAUCAAUAUUUGUCGACCCGUAUGAAGGGCGCCCAUAGGACAAACCUUAUGGACAAACCAUCAUUGUUGAUGCAUAUAUAAAUAUAGUUCCACCAAUUCCAAAUAAAACAUUUUGAGCCAUCGCCAUUGCUUCAUGGCAAAAUUGUGAAUGUAUCUGCAUAUUCUUUUGUAAAAGACAGCGACACUGAAAAACAUAUUUUAGUCACAGUUUAUCAAUGGCAAAAAUAGACUUAAAAUCUUAAAUAGUCAAUAUAUAAAACAUUGACACCAAAAAUGGUUCUUACUCCUUACUAUUUGUAUAUUUAUUACAUACAUACAUGCAACAUAUAUAUUAUUUUAUAGUUCCAUGGAAUCACAUCAAGAUUAAAAUGUGUUAGAAGCUAGAGAAGAAUAAUUGCAACUUUAUAGUAUAUUCGCAGGCAAUAUAACAUAAUUGAUAUUGCUUUAUGUAAAUGUAGUUGAUAAUCAAACUUUCUAAAACCUUCAAUUGUAUGAAUGCUUCAAACUAUCUUUAAUAUUUGAUGUUAAGAAAUAUUUCUUUCUGUUGAGUCCUAGACCUUUUGUUUUUAAUCCAAGCAAUCAAACUGCCAAAUUACUGUAAUUAUUAACAGCAUAGGUCAUUGAUAAUCAGCUGAAUUUUAAAACUGCUUUGGGAAACCCUAAGUAGAUUUUAUAAUCUUAAAUAUAGUUGCACUCAC